AGGUACUAUUCGGUUUUAUUAGACACAAGGAAUUAUUGAUCCAAGUCAGAAGCAGCACAACUACUGCCAUGUUAGAAGGAUUAAUAUGCACCAGCCCCGACUGUGACUUGCCUGGAGGCCCUCGCCUGGCCCACCCCAAUCUUCAUGCCUUCUGAGAGUCCUUGGGGAAGAGACCUACCACCAAGGUCAUCCCUUCCAGCACCUAACUCUUCUGUCUGCUAAAAAAAUAUCAACCAGAUUAUUCCUAAAAAGAUCAUGCUUAUCUUUGCCAUGUGUCGAAAAAGCCAACCUGGGUCCCAAAGUAUCUCAGUCCCAUGUUUCCUGGUUGGGAAGCAGAACACAAAUCCCAGUAAAGACCUUCUCUCUUCAACUAGUCACCAGAGAAACUGAAAGUAAUGAAAAAUAUGUAUACCACCCUUUAUGCCACAGGUUUGUAAACUCAAAUGUCCACCAGGACCAGGCAGGUGGCAUAGAUGAGUGAAGUACAGUGGUGGGGUGGAUUAGAUGGGUGGGAGGAGGGUUCCAGGGCAGGGGGAUUACAGCAAACCAGACUUAAUGGCAUGCCCCAUCCUCCACCCAGAAAACCAGCUUUUUUAACAGGCAAUCUCUCAAGUUUCAAAUACUGGCAACAAAUACAAAAGGAUUUUAAACACAGCAGAGACUGUGCCUUGUAACUUCUGCCUUAUAUAAUUUCCUACCUUAAUAAAAGCUCCCUCCCCCCACCAAAUAAGAAGACUCCAACCCAAUUAUUACAAAGAAAUUAACAGAGAAAUAGAAAAAUAUAGCAGCUUCAAAAAUACCAGUUUCCCCAUUUUAAAACAAAAUCAGUGGUAAUUCUUUGAGUUCAUUCAUGUGUAGGAGGUCAGCCAGGUCUACCUAUUGGUAAGACAGCCUUGCAUUAUUAGAAUGACACCUGCUACUAACCAACCCCAAAUAAGAUGUCACCCUGCCUGCCUUCACACUAUCCCCACCAGGCAGAGAAAGGAUAGAACCCGGCUGCAUAUUAUGAAGAAUAAAUUGAAGCACAGAGCCAGGAGGGACCCUCCUUGAUAUCACAUGGCCCCUCAGCCACAGGUUUCCAAUUCCACAUUUUGGUAUCAGAGAUGAAAGCCAACAUAACUACUAGAAGGUAUGCAGCACCUUAUAGAAUCCUGGGUAGAUAGUAGCCCAACUGCAUGUCUGCUGAGCAAAUCAUGCACGAAUGAAUGAAUCUAGCUACUUCCCUUAGACAGUGCUUCCUACCAAGGAAAAUCAGGAGCUGCUCUUGCCAUUCCAAAGACCGCAUUUCUCCAGGGGCAGGAGAGGAAGGCAAGGGAGGUAAUGCAGAGUUCCUUCUAUAAGUGAACAGAUGGCUUUCCUGGUUUUUAAGGGAAUAUCAUCGACCCUGUCUGACUCAUAAACAGAGAAAAAAGGAUUCAGGAACUUGGCACUUCUAGGUUGGGUCUGCUUUGACCUUGGACAAGGGCCUGAGAUUGAGAUAAAGGCCCACAUCCUUAUAAUCCAUACCCCUACCUUUCUUGUUUGGUGCCGGAGGCAGUUCCCAGGAUCCUUAUUCUCAAAGGAUUUGGCACAGAAAGUCAAUGUCAACAUGAGAAAGAAAGAGGCCAUGCAGAGCAUGUGGAUGUCUUGGCUUUGACCCAAUAGGUCCCCAGGGCAGCAGUGCAGUCUUUUAUUCCAGCUUGCUCUGGCAGCCAAGAUCUCAGGAAGCCCAACCCUCUCUGCUGGGGUGGGGGAUGGGGACUUCCUAGAAUUUCAGAGAGA
This 1761-nucleotide long non-coding RNA is filed under the name Canis lupus familiaris (dog). RNAcentral's name for it is "lncRNA (ENSCAFG00000056654.1)". The record is from RNAcentral. Lineage: Eukaryota; Metazoa; Chordata; Mammalia; Carnivora; Canidae.